This 324-nucleotide ribosomal RNA is filed under the name uncultured eukaryote. RNAcentral describes it as "partial 18S ribosomal RNA". It matches the Rfam family "Eukaryotic small subunit ribosomal RNA", at positions 1470 to 1796 of the family's 1831-position model. The record is from RNAcentral.
CCCUAUGAUGUUCUGGGCCGCACGCGCGCUACACUGAUGCAUUCAACGAGUUUCUUCCUGGUCCGAGAGGAAUGGGUAACCUUUUGAAAGUGCAUCGUGAUAGGGAUAGACUAUUGCAAUUAUUGGUCUUCAACGAGGAAUUCCUAGUAGACGUAGUUCAUCAGACUGCAUCGAUUACGUCCCUGCCCUUUGUACACACCGCCCGUCGCUCCUACCGAUUGAAUGCUCAGGUGAGCCAUUCGGACUUUCAUCAUGCUGGUUUCCAGUUUUGAUGAAGGAAAGUCUUGCGAACCUUAUCAUUUAGAGGAAGGAGAAGUCGUAACA